AAGUUGAGUGGCGAACGGGUGAGUAACACGUGGGUGACCUACCUUCGAGUGGGGGAUAACGUCCCGAAAGGGACGCUAAUACCGCAUAACAUCCUGCCUUUGAACAGGUGGAGAUCAAAGCCGGGGAUCGCAAGACCUGGCGCUUGAUGAGGGGCCCGCGCCUGAUUAGCUAGUUGGUGGGGUAAUGGCUCACCAAGGCGACGAUCAGUAUCCGGCCUGAGAGGGCGGACGGACACACUGGGACUGAGACACGGCCCAGACUCCUACGGGAGGCAGCAGUGGGGAAUUGUUCGCAAUGGGCGCAAGCCUGACGACGCAACGCCGCGUGGAGGAUGAAGGUCUUCGGAUUGGAAACUCCUGUGUGCUCGGGACGAAAAGCUUCGACCUAACACGUCGAAGUCUGACGG
RNAcentral lists this ribosomal RNA (407 nucleotides) under uncultured bacterium. Its description in RNAcentral is "bacterial SSU rRNA". It matches the Rfam family "Bacterial small subunit ribosomal RNA", at positions 88 to 475 of the family's 1533-position model. The record is from RNAcentral.